UGAAAAUUAUACUUGUAGUUUAUUUGCAUUGUUCACCAACGUACCUUAUACUCUUAUUUAUUUAUUUAUUUUCUUGCAUAUUUCUAGAAAAACAGGUUCGAGGUGGGGCUUUUUUCCUCCUCCUCUCCUGCUCCUCCACCUCCUCCUUCUUCUCUUUUCAUUUUAGAAUAUCAGGUAAAUGCCUGAAAUGCUAGUUAAUGGUAUUUUAUUUUGUCACAUAAGAAAGGCCCACAUGUGCAUUACACAGUACAGUAAAAUAAAAAAUAUCUGCAAAAUACAGUAUCUCAGUUAUGCCAUAAGCUAAAAUAAUAAUGCCUUAUUUGUCACAGAUAUUGACAUCAGGUUCCUGAAGAAGACGGCUUUCAGUCUUUACAGUGAUUUGAAAUCCAGGAACAGCAAGAGAAAGAUCUUGUUGAGACCAUCACCAUGAAUCAAUUUUAUCUAUCUUUUUAUUUGACCUUCCUGCAUUAUUAAACAGCUACACUGAGCUUUUUAUGUCUACUCUGCUUGACAGAUGCCUGCAAAAUUCCAUCACACCUUUGCAUGGACCUGUUUGGGUCUUUAAGAGAGAAGGUUUCAGCCUCUCAGGAGCAAAGAUAAAUAUCCCAGGACUUCUAUUGGCCCUGCACCAAUGAUUAAAGUCUGCAAACUGUUGCAAACAGCACAGCCUGAUGUGAUUGCCAAGGCACUUCAGAAGAGGAGUGAAGGAACUUCAGCUUGCCGUGCCCAUUUGGACAAACCCAAAUAUACACCUCUUCCUAGUGUGCAGUGAUUGGGUAUGUACUGUUACUCUGCUGUGACUAUGUCGCAUCUCCACAGAACCAUUUUCACCCAUGUCCUGGUGUUGUUUGCCAGUAUGAAGGGUCAAUUAUGUUAGUUACCAGAAUUCUCACAGUCCUUAUUUGUGCAGGUAGCCCAAAAUACAGGUUUUCUGCAAGAAGUUAAAUGAAUGUAUAGAGUAAGAUCAGAAGCAUGUCAUGUUUUAGUCUGUUUCCCAGAAUGAGCCAUGAACAAUUGUUUAACUACAGCGUGGAUGCCAGCAAAUGUCCUUAAAUUUAUAUACGUCAACAUUUUUGUGUUAAAGUUUGCUUGCAGUCCAUUAUGACUACUGAUCCUGAUAUCUCUGGUGUCAGAAGGGGAAGGACUAUGUAGAAGGAGGAAAUGCUAUGUAAAGAAGGAAAAAAUGAUCCUCUAAGUGUAUAAUCUUUUAUAUUGUGCAAAGUUUAAGCUUCAAUAUAUAAAAUUACUCAAAUAUUUUCUGGGGGUGGAGAAUGAGAGAAAAAAACACGGGGGGGGGAAGCUAAAAACAAUGGACGUUCACAUUAAUUGUUUUGACAUUUAUUAAUAUGCAAUUUAGAGAACUAUAUUUAAAAGGUAAACUUUGUGGCUACACUGGGUCAGUGAAACACCUACUUGGCAUCUGUUUCAAUGCAUCCAAUUAACCAGGUAAGAAGUGAAGUUAGAAAGCUUAAGUGAGAAUUAAAUUUGAGAGAUUGACUGCAG
This 1503-nucleotide long non-coding RNA is filed under the name Anser brachyrhynchus (Pink-footed goose). RNAcentral describes it as "lncRNA (ENSABRG00000017978.1)". The record is from RNAcentral. Lineage: Eukaryota; Metazoa; Chordata; Aves; Anseriformes; Anatidae.